GGGGCUGAUGUGGCUUCGACAGGAGUAGUUUUAGCUUAUGGCUGCAUGUCGCGAGUGAGGGUCUUGCGUUAGACAACCUUCAAAUCAUAACUGCUAACAACAGUAACUAUCGUCCUGCUUACGCUGCUGCGUAAGUUUUAACUAACAAGGACUGCUUCCACUUCCGAUUCUAUCCAAGGAAGACUUUGGAAGUAUCAUAGGCAUGAUAGAUAUACCCAAAGAGUGUUUUGGCUUUGGAUGAAAGUUAAAAACUCGUUUUGCGUAGUUUUGUAAGUUGUAUGAAGCAAAAUUAAAAAACAAACAAUUUUUCUAAGCAUGUAGAUGUCAUAGGUGGCUAUUUUUGGACUCCGGUUCAAUUCCGGACAGCUCCACCA
This 374-nucleotide transfer-messenger RNA is filed under the name Sulfurospirillum sp. It matches the Rfam family "transfer-messenger RNA". From Rfam's summary of the family: Bacterial tmRNA, also known as 10Sa RNA or SsrA, is named for its dual tRNA and mRNA-like properties. Its role is to liberate the mRNA from a stalled ribosome. Lineage: Bacteria; Pseudomonadati; Campylobacterota; Epsilonproteobacteria; Campylobacterales; Sulfurospirillaceae. RNAcentral also lists the same sequence under 1 other name. The record is from RNAcentral.